RNAcentral lists this ribosomal RNA (254 nucleotides) under uncultured bacterium. RNAcentral describes it as "partial 16S ribosomal RNA". It matches the Rfam family "Bacterial small subunit ribosomal RNA", at positions 524 to 776 of the family's 1533-position model. The record is from RNAcentral.
UACGGGGGGGGGCAAGCGUUGUUCGGAAUUCCUGGGCGUAAAGGGCUCGUAGGUGGCCAACUAAGUCAGACGUGAAAUCCCUCGGCUUAACCGGGGAACUGCGUCUGAUACUGGACGGCUUGAGUUUGGGAGAGGGACGCGGAAUUCCAGGUGUAGCGGUGAAAUGCGUAGAUAUCUGGAGGAACACCGGUGGCGAAAGCGGCGCGCUGGACCUCUUCUGACGCUGAGGCGCGAAAGCCAGGGGAGCGAACGGG